Molecule: ribosomal RNA, 395 nt
Filed under: uncultured bacterium
Lineage: Bacteria
Description: partial 16S ribosomal RNA
Rfam family: Bacterial small subunit ribosomal RNA
Source: RNAcentral
AUACGUAGGGUGCAAGCGUUAAUCGGAAUUACUGGGCGUAAAGCGUGCGCAGGCGGUUUUGUAAGACAGUGGUGAAAUCCCCGGGCUCAACCUGGGAACUGCCUUUGUGACUGCAAGGCUAGAGUACGGCAGAGGGGGAUGGAAUUCCGCGUGUAGCAGUGAAAUGCGUAGAUAUGCGGAGGAACACCGAUGGCGAAGGCAAUCCCCUGGGCCUGUACUGACGCUCAUGCCCGAAAGCGUGGGGAGCAAACAGGAUUAGAUACCCUGGUAGUCCACGCCCUAAACGAUGUCAACUGGUUGUUGGGUCUUCAUUGACUCAGUAACGAAGCUAACGCGUGAAGUUGACCGCCUGGGGAGUACGGCCGCAAGGUUGAAACUCAAAUGAAUUGACGGGG